This is a non-coding RNA of Phoenix dactylifera (date palm), 2564 nucleotides long. The record is from RefSeq and is a predicted model, not a curated record. Lineage: Eukaryota; Viridiplantae; Streptophyta; Magnoliopsida; Arecales; Arecaceae.
GCGGUUGGCGCGACCCCCGGUUCGCAAUCUCGCGUCGGGGGCGUGACAACUUUUAUGGUAUCAGAGCAUAAGUGGAUAAAAUCUAAGACGAAGAAUCUGACAUAAGAUGAGUGUAGGUGGGUAAACAUUAAGGGCAUUGGACGUGAAUCCAUGUCAAUUGCAUUGUAAGCUACUUUCAAGAUUUUCUAUUAAGCCUUGUGAUAGAUUAUGUAUGAGAAGGUUACUAGGAAAUUAUGAUUGAAUUUACUUAUGAGGUUUGAUACAUUAUGGAAGAUUGGGCAAUCUAUGAAUCAAGUUAUAAUUAGUUAGAUUUGGAUCUAAAUUAAGUACAAAAGGAUUGGCCAUGGAAUAUUAUCAUGCAUUGUGAUUAUUUAUUAUUUAAGUGAACUUGUAAACUCAAAAAAUUGAUAUGGAGGUAUACUAUGAUUUUGCUUAAUUUAGAAGAUAAUUUUUUUAGAGGCAAAUUAAGAUCCAUUUAUAUAAAGUUGUUUAAGAUUUGGGCUAUGAAACCUUUUUACAGUGCUUGAUUAAAAUAUUCUUCGAGGAUUGAAAACUGUAUGUGGAUCAUGUAUGAAACUCCUGUGUAGAUGGAGAAUAUAUUUGGGAUAAAAUUCUAGAAUUAAUUUAAAAUUACAAUAUAGAUUGGGAUUAUGAUUGGAAGUAAUUUAGUAAAUUAUGAGAAUACUGGUUGUUUAAAUUAUUUUAAGAUGAUCAACGAUAUUAACUCUAUGAUUGGAAAAUAUUUUCUGAUGGGUUUCCUUGUUAAGGAGAAUUUCGUUGUCAAAGAAAAGAAUAGUAUUUUUGAUUUUGACUGGAUAUUAUCAUGUUAUUAAUAGGUUCUUCUAUCUGUUGUAAAAAAGAGAGAGAGAGAGAAAUCUGGCAUUCCAAGUCUAGGAUUAAUGGUUCUUGCAUUAGCUGAUCCUGGAUUUGGAAUGUUUUAGCCUAGAUUUCUUUUCUCUUAAUUUGUAGCUUAUGCUUUUGACAGAAUUAAGAAAUAAUUAUCAAUCUUGAAGAAAUAAUUUUAUUGGAGAUUGUAAAGUAUUCAUCUCGGUGGAUUAUUAUUAAUUUAAAUUAUCGUCUUUGGAUCCAAAUAAUAGAUCUUGUUCAUGUCUAUCAGAGACUAUGUGAUGUAUAUAAAACUUCAAUUCAAAGUUUGGAUUUAAGCCGAUCUAGGGUCUUUUGUCAAUAUUGUUGCGGUUGCUGAUAAAAAUCUAGAUUUGCAUAAAGAAUUUGUAUUUUAGAGGCUUACAUGGUUAUGAUGAAGGAUUUUUGAUAAAUGCUAAAGAUCUCGAUGAAGAAAACAUUAGGAGAGAGAUGGUUGAGUUUGUUUUACUCAUUUGUAUUGAUUUAACGCCUUCUAAUUUGGACGAGCAUUGAGAGAAUUCUUCUGGUUGAUUUUACGUGGAGUUUGACUUAGAAUCCUCUAGUUGAACUGAUAAGAGAAUUAAGAUUCAAUCAAUUUUGACCCGAGGGUGAAUCUAGACGGAUGGCUUGAGGUAAAGUAGGGGACGAGAAUCAAAGAUUUCUUUUUAGGCUUUACGUGGAAAUUGAAAUUUUGGAUCUCUUUAGUUCAUAAUACAAAAUAGUAUUUUGAUCAAAAAUUAUUAGUGAAUCCAAAAAAUUUUGGUAGUUUGAAUCAGAGUGCGCAACGAAAGCGUAGUGGUCUGAACUAUUUUUCUAAGUUGGUCAGAAGUAUUAUUCCUUUAAUUCGGCAAGUUUUAAUAACAAAAGACUUGAUUUGAUUUUGAAUUUUUGGAUGUCGCUGCACUAUCUUAGGUUCUCUAAUUUUAUGUCAUGCUAAGGAAAUGAUUAACAUCUUGAGACUAGAAUUAAUAGAUCAUCGAUUUUGAUUUUGGAUCUGGAAUAUUUUGGUGUAGACCUAUUUCCUCCUAAAUCUGAAGCUUGUACUUCUUCAAUUAAUAUCAACCCUCUAUUUGAAAGAACUUGAGGUUGUCAAGUGACUUUGAUGAAUAUUCCACUAGGGAUCGAUUAAUCAAGAGUAGUUGAUAUUUUGACAAAGAAACUUGAUGUUCUUAUUCAAAAUUAAGACGUUGAUUUUUAUUUAUGAGAGAGAGAAGUUUGAUUUACAUCAUCUAUAAAAGAACCAAAUCUGGAGGUAUUGGACCUUAUUCUUAUGAUAAGAUUAAAUUAUAUUGAUAAGUAGAACUAUUGGAAGACUGAGGUUAGUCUUCUAGUAGAGAAGAAUGUUGUUGGUUCUAUGAAUAAUCUGAAGGUAGCUAUGUAAUUUUCAUCAGUGGGGUUUUCUAUUGUUGACAAUUCUUGGGAGAAUCUUGAGCAUCUUAAAUUUAGUAUUCAUGGAUUGAUGGUUACUUGGUUAGACUUAGAUCUGGAAAGUUUUAACAUGGAUCUCCUAUUCCUAAUUCUAACAUUGUUAAUCUGGCUAUUUGAAAGGGCUUGAGGUUUUAUAACACAAAGGUUGAUCAUUAUAUCAUGGAAAAAAAAAUGAGGAGCAUUUGAUACUAAAGCUUUCUCCUACUUACAUUUAACCGAUUAAAUUUCUAUGUAGAAUUAAUCAGGAGCAAUUAAUUUCUUGAAAAAAAAAA